GCUCAGCUUGCGUCCCGAAGCGGAUUCGAGCA
Molecule: non-coding RNA, 32 nt
Filed under: uncultured eukaryote
Lineage: Eukaryota
Source: RNAcentral